Molecule: ribosomal RNA, 387 nt
Filed under: uncultured bacterium
Lineage: Bacteria
Description: bacterial SSU rRNA
Rfam family: Bacterial small subunit ribosomal RNA
Source: RNAcentral
GACGAACGCUGGCGGCGUGCUUAACACAUGCAAGUCGAACGAUGAACCACUUCGGUGGGGAUUAGUGGCGAACGGGUGAGUAACACGUGGGCAAUCUGCCCUUCACUCUGGGACAAGCCCUGGAAACGGGGUCUAAUACCGGAUAACACUGCCACGGGCAUCUGUGGUGGUUAAAAGCUCCGGCGGUGAAGGAUGAGCCCGCGGCCUAUCAGCUUGUUGGUGAGGUAAUGGCNCACCAAGGCGACGACGGGUAGCCGGCCUGAGAGGGCGACCGGCCACACUGGGACUGAGACACGGCCCAGACUCCUACGGGAGGCAGCAGUGGGGAAUAUUGCACAAUGGGCGAAAGCCUGAUGCAGCGACGCCGCGUGAGGGAUGACGGCCUGG